This 252-nucleotide ribosomal RNA is filed under the name uncultured bacterium. Its description in RNAcentral is "partial 16S ribosomal RNA". It matches the Rfam family "Bacterial small subunit ribosomal RNA", at positions 524 to 776 of the family's 1533-position model. The record is from RNAcentral.
UACGUAGGGGGCGAGCGUUAUCCGGAUUUAUUGGGCGUAAAGGGUGCGUAGGCGGUAUGUUAAGUCUAAAAUCAAAGCCCGAGGCUUAACCUCGGUUCGUUUUAGAAACUGGCAAACUAGAGUGCAGUAGAGGCAAGUGGAAUUUCUAGUGUAGCGGUUAAAUGCGUAGAUAUUAGAAGGAACACCAGUGGCGAAGGCGGCUUGCUGGGCAGUAACUGACGCUGAGGCACGAAAGCGUGGGGAGCAAAUAGG